RNAcentral lists this ribosomal RNA (397 nucleotides) under uncultured bacterium. RNAcentral's name for it is "partial 16S ribosomal RNA". It matches the Rfam family "Bacterial small subunit ribosomal RNA", at positions 523 to 918 of the family's 1533-position model. The record is from RNAcentral.
AUACGUAGGUGACAAGCGUUAUCCAGAUUUACUGGGCGUAAAGGGCGUGUAGGCGGUCUUGCAAGUCAGAAGUGAAAUUCCUGAGCUCAACUCGGGCGCUGCUUCUGAAACUGCAGGACUUGAGUGCUGGAGGGGAUAGCGGAAUUCCUAGUGGAGCGGUAAAAUGCGCAGAUAUUAGGAAGAACACCGGUGGCGAAGGCGGAUUUCAGGACAGUAACUGACGCUGAGGCGCAAAAGCGUGGGGAGCAAACAGGAUGAGAUGCCCGGGUAGUCCACGCCGUAAACGAUGAAUACUAGGUGUAGGGGGUAUCGACUCCCUCUGUGCCGCAGUUAACACAAUAAGUAUUCCGCCUGGGGAGUACGGCCGCAAGGUUGAAACUCAAAGGAAUUGACGGGG